AUUUGCUUCAAAAUUGUCAAGAAAAAGUUUAGAAAUUUCUUUUAAAAUGUUGUUUAGACCUGGUGUUAGGUUGUGAUGUUUCUAUGUUACCUGAAUGGUUAGUUAUGAUAAUUAGGAUUCAGUGUUGUUGCUUGAAUAGUUUCAAGAAAGUUUUAUGUCCAUUGUGUUCUUUGUUAAGGUGUUUUUGGAGAUCAGACUUGGUGAGAAACCAUGUUCUGAUCUCUUUAUUGUCUUUUGAUACCUGUCUUUAGUUGUGGUGACAGGUUAUUAAAUGUUAUGUGAUGACCUUUACACAUCAAGCACAAGCUCAAAGCUCACACCCUCUUGAAGACUGCUCAAACCGACUUUCUCAAAUUUACUUCAAUAUGGAGUCAACAAAAGCCACGGUCCUCUCAGUCAUUCUCAGGGUUCCUAUCUGAUCCCCUGGUCGUGUAUGGUGAAGUCAAAUCAGCAAGAAGAAACAAUGAGAAGCCAUUUCAUCUCAUGUUCUUAAAAGCACUCAAAUUCAGCCAUGCUUCAAGGAAAGUUCACAGGCGGAUGAUGUCCAAUAGAACCAAGAAGACCAGGAGGACAGGAGGGGAUCCAAGGGUGAGCUUUACAAACAGGGCCAAACACACAAGGAAAAGGAGUUGGGUAAUGAAUCCAAAACUCAAAUCCACCAAGCUCAGAUGAGUAGUGUGUAUAUGAAGGUUCAAGGAACCAGCCCAGGUUCCUAGGCUGUAAGUUAAACCUCCUAAACCUGAACAAUAGCUUGUGUAAUGUGUCUGGUCGUUUUUGAGUGAUGGUUUAGAGUCCAAUGGAUCAUGAUAAGUUGCUAGAAGUUGCAUUUUGUCUUAAUCUUAUCAUCUGUGGUUGUUUUUGUUCCUAGAAGUGUCUGCCUAGGUUGUCAUGCAUCCAUGAUAUAUUGAUAUCGAUUGGGAGUCCUUUAAUUGUCAUGUCUGCCUUGAGAUUGUUAAGUAUCUAGGAGUGUUCCUAGAUGUGUGGUGUAUUCAUGCUGUUGUUGAAAUUGAUUAGGUUAUUAGCCUAGUCUUCUUUAGCAUCUGGAUUGUCUUAAAAAUGCAUAUUGGAUUGUAUUAAAGAGGCAUACAUAUUGUUCCUGGUGCAUUCAUAUUGUUUCUAAAGCUGUCAUAGGAGGUGAUAAGCUCUUUUGCAAUCUGUUUUUUUUUUAAGCAGUGGCGACCAGUCUUCAUUUUAUUCAAUGAUCUGGUCCCAUGCUGAUGUUACUGAUCCCUAUCUGAGUUGUAAUGGUGUGUAGGACACAGGAUGUGACUAUUAGACCAGAAGCAGCAACAGGAAAAGGGAUAUACCCAUGUUGAUCAGAGCCUGCACAAGAUGCAUAUUCCUGAACAUGGAGAAAAGAGACCAUGUUGUUCAGAGCCUACACUUGGUGUAUAUUACUGACCAUGGAGAGACAUCUUAUGAGUGGAAUCAGUUGGCUUAAGCGCAGGCGUAGGAGCUGUUGUGCUCCUGGUUCAAGAGACUCACAAGGAAGGCCAUCACCUAAGUCAUGAGGAGACUGGUGGUCCAAAGACAUUGGAGCUGAAGGCAAAUGGUGAUCCAGUUGGCUUAAGCGCAGAUGUUGGUAUUGUUGUGCUCCUGGAAGAUGGUGAACUGGUUGGCUUAAGCGCAGAUGUUGGUAUUGUUGUGCUCCCAGUUCAAAACUCAUUGAAGCUCACGUUCAAGCUUGUCACUAUACUCAGUCAAGCUUGAGGAGGGGAAUAUCAGUGAGCUACCAAAAGAUCCAUGAAGCUUAUUAUAUCCAGUGUCCCAUUUCCUCAUAGAAGACCAGCAAGAGGUUGGCAAAUUAAAAGAGGACUUAAGUGAUCAGUCUGAAGAAGCUGUCACUCCUCACUGUUCUUACCAGCCAGAUGCAAGGAUUAUUCAAUCAGGGACAUUCUUGGCUAAGCAAUCACAUGAUGGUGGCAAAUUAUGUAGUUGCAAAGUCCCCCUACAUGUUGAAACUUCAAGAGAACAAUGCAAAGGCUGGUUGAGAGAAGGAAUGGCGUGGAGGAUUCAAAUGCUCUGCACUCCUCACCAACAUUCCAGAAACUAAUGCAAGGGGAGUACCUAAAACCAUCCUUAUUCUUAUGUGAGAAUAGGUUUUCCCCUUGAGAAUUGAUACAUGCAUUCUUUGUAUGAUUGAAUCAGGUACCUAUUGAGCUUAUGAACAAAGACAAGCUUUGUCUCAACCCCUAAAUAGAGGCAAGAAGCUAGAAGAAAGGGGGAGACAAGCUCAGGUCAUAAGAAGAAGCUCAAAGGUGAUUUGAUGGUGAAGGAAUUGGCGCCAAUCCAAGUUUGCAAGUAGUGGAUUCACUCUUGCAUUACUCAGUACCAACCGUGUGAUUGAGCUCACCAUUCUUAUAAAAGGGAAGCACCUUAAACUCAUCUCAAUACAUUCUUGAUUGUCCUUAUACUUAAACUAUUAUUGAGUUUGAUGUGAUGAGUGCAUUUCCUUAAGAACUGAUGCACUUUUGAAAUGAUGUAUCAGGUACCAAAAUAAGUUUGAGCCUCACUGAAGAUGAUGAUGAUGAUCCGGUCAUGUCCUAGCCUUCCUAAGGUAGUUGAAGCCAGUUGAGAGAGAGAGAGACCCUAAACCGGCCACAAAAUGAUCCAGCCUGCCACUUGUGCUCAAGGAUAGCAAGUUAUGGUGAUUCAUACUUGCUAUACCUAUUAGGCCACGAUCCAGAGCCUAAGGACUCCACCAUGAUGAAUCUGAAGUUCCUUAGGCUCACUGGCCAAUCCCUAAGCUUUGUAGAAACUCCACUCUUUUUCCCUUAGCAAGUUUUGUCCCAAUGGGUUUUCUUGCUAAGGUUUUUAAUGAGGGAGCUUCUUCAAGGUUCCAAGCUUUUCCAAGGAUCUCCUAUGGUCAAGCUUGAGGGGGAGUGUUGAAAUGAAGAAGGGAAUGACCAGAAGAAGAAGCUGGUUCAUGAUCCAAGUUUGAUAUUGUAGAGGAAGUAAUCUGGAUACUUCAAAGAUGAGACUGGUUCAUACAGACUUGUGAACCAAGUUAUGGUUAGAGUGGAGAAGGAAGAAGCAUGGCUGAGUGUGAUCCAUUGAUCUUAUAAAUAAAGAAGACAAAGAGAAGAAGAGAUACUUGAAAAGAUUCAGGUCUGGAAAACCUUGCUACACAAGGCAGUCCGUACAGUCUUGGCUUCCAAGUUACCUAGAGUGACUUGGAUGGUAAGGCAGGUGAGGAACUCGUACAGCUUGAUCUUCUGAAGCAGAUUUGAAGUUAAAAUGGAGCAUUAGACCGUUGGAGAGAGCUGAGACAAGUUGGGAAUUAAAUAGAGUAAAAGUCACAUGUGCAUAAGAGGAUGAACCUGCUGUCACUUUCACCCAACCAGACUGUGCCCAUCUUUCUCCCCUGUCACUCUCUACUCCCUCUGGUCGAGAUUCACCUUGGCUGUACCUUCCUGGCUUCACCAGAAAACCCUACAAUAUUAUUUGUUUAGUAAAACCCUGUUUUAGUAUUUGUUUAAUAUGUGUGCUUGUCUAUUUAAGACAAUGUUGUAUCUGAUUGUAAACUAAGGAGAGUAAAACUCUUUCUUCACAUACUCUGGUUACUAAACUCUCAGAUUCUCCUAUUCUCUCUAUUCUCUUGUCUCUCACGACCUCCAUUACUCUCUUAUACUCUAGCAUACUCAGAAACUCUCCCAAACACUUUAUACUCUCUUCACUCUCUCAUUACUUUCAAUUGCUCAUCAAUCACUCUCUCUGGUUUCAUACUGAACCAGAAGCUUAUUCUCAUCAUAUUCCUUUUAUUUCAUCUCAAUUCUUUCACUAAGGAGUUUCUCAAAUCUGUGUUUGACAUCAAGGAUUUGGGAGAGAUGAAGUAUUUUCUGGGCAUUGAGAUAUGCAGAUCAAAGGAGGGUUUGUUUAUGUCUCAAAGGAAGUAUACUAUGGAUAUGUUGAAGGAGACUGAUGUGCUUGGAGGAAAGAUAGCUAAGACACCCCUUGAGGAGGGAUAUAAAGUUCUGCGUGAGGGGGAGGUUGAAGAGAAGCAGCUGUUUGAAGAUCCUAAGCUAUACAGUCUUUCAAAUCCUGUCCCUUUCAAACCAGUAGGAACAUCCUAUUAUCCACUGGUCCAAAAAUCUUCAAGAUGAUGAAUAUUCAAGCAUGGGCGAGUUCAGUGAAGCUCAAAACUCCAAACUACUCUCUCUGGGUCAGCAUAUGCAGGCACCAAAGGUACAUCACUGGAAGAUGGUUGAUAGGAUACUGAGGUAUUUGAGUGGCACGCCUGGUCAAGGAGUUUGGAUGGGUUGUAAUGGCAGUACAGAAGUGGUUGGGUAUUGUGAUGCUGAUUGGGCAGGAGAUAGAGUGGACAGGAGAUCAACUACUGGGUAUUGUACAUUCAUUGGAGGGAACUUGGUUACUUGGAAGAGUAAGAAGCAGAAGGUUAUCUCUUGUUCAAGCUAAGGAUAGGUGGUGGAUAUUCAAUCCACAUCUGAAACAAAUGUACUUUCAAUAAGCCCCCAUGGGCUGGAGAGUCAAGAAACCAGCUCAGGUUUCUUGAGAGUAAGCGGAAUCUUCUACUCUGAUAAAAGCACUGUGUGUGCUGGUCGUUUGUGUUGUCUUAGGGUGUUUAGAAACUAGCUUGUUGUUCUUGUCUAGUUUCUACACAUGAAAAGACUGUCCAAUUGUCAUUUUGUCUAAGUAUUUGUCUGCCUUAGAAUUUUGUUAAGAGUCUUAGUGCUAUUUUUAAUCUCUGUCUCUGAAAAAAAAAAAAAAAUGCCAUUAUAUUAUUCUAAUCUUGUCUAGAAAAUUGUCUGGUUUAUUUGCUUCAAAAUUGUCAAGAAAAAGUUUAGAAAUUUCUUUUAAAAUGUUGUUUAGACCUGGUGUUAGGUUGUGAUGUUUCUAUGUUACCUGAAUGGUUAGUUAUGAUAAUUAGGAUUCAGUGUUGUUGCUUGAAUAGUUUCAAGAAAGUUUUAUGUCCAUUGUGUUCUUUGUUAAGGUGUUUUUGGAGAUCAGACUUGGUGAGAAACCAUGUUCUGAUCUCUUUAUUGUCUUUUGAUACCUGUCUUUAGUUGUGGUGACAGGUUAUUAAAUGUUAUGUGAUGACCUUUACACAUCAAGCACAAGCUCAAAGCUCACACCCUCUUGAAGACUGCUCAAACCGACUUUCUCAAAUUUACUUCAAUAUGGAGUCAAC
This 5149-nucleotide long non-coding RNA is filed under the name Brassica napus (rape). RNAcentral describes it as "long non-coding RNA (BNAP_LNC008741)". Lineage: Eukaryota; Viridiplantae; Streptophyta; Magnoliopsida; Brassicales; Brassicaceae. The record is from RNAcentral.